AAGUCGAGGGGCAGCAUGAACUUAGCUUGCUAAGUUUGAUGGCGACCGGCGCACGGGUGAGUAACACGUAUCCAACCUGCCGAUGACUCGGGGAUAGCCUUUCGAAAGAAAGAUUAAUACCCGAUGGCAUAAUUCUUCCGCAUGGUAGAAUUAUUAAAGAAUUUCGGUCAUCGAUGGGGAUGCGUUCCAUUAGGUUGUUGGCGGGGUAACGGCCCACCAAGCCUUCGAUGGAUAGGGGUCCUGAGAGGAAGGUCCCCCACAUUGGAACUGAGACACGGUCCAAACUCCUACGGGAGGCAGCAGUGAGGAAUAUUGGUCAAUGGACGAGAGUCUGAACCAGCCAAGUAGCGUGAAGGAUGACUGCCCUAUGGGUUGUAAACUUCUUUUAUACGGGAAUAAAGUGAGGCACGUGUGCCUUUUUGUAUGUACCGUAUGAAUAAGGAUCGGCUAACUCCGUGCCAGCAGCCGCGGUAAAUAACGGAGGAUCCGAGCGUUAUCCGGAUUUAUUGGGUUUAAAGGGAGCGUAGGCGGACGCUUAAGUCAGUUGUGAAAGUUUGCGGCUCAACCGUAAAAUUGCAGUUGAUACUGGGUGUCUUGAGUACAGUAGAGGCAGGCGGAAUUCGUGGUGUAGCGGUGAAAUGCUUAGAUAUCACGAAGACUCCGAUUGCGAAGGCAGCCUGCUGGACU
This 687-nucleotide ribosomal RNA is filed under the name uncultured Bacteroidales bacterium. RNAcentral describes it as "bacterial SSU rRNA". It matches the Rfam family "Bacterial small subunit ribosomal RNA", at positions 59 to 735 of the family's 1533-position model. The record is from RNAcentral. Lineage: Bacteria; Pseudomonadati; Bacteroidota; Bacteroidia; Bacteroidales.